Chiloscyllium plagiosum (whitespotted bambooshark) is the source of this 482-nucleotide long non-coding RNA. RefSeq lists it as uncharacterized. The record is from RefSeq and is a predicted model, not a curated record. NCBI's taxonomy places the organism in Eukaryota, Metazoa, Chordata, Chondrichthyes, Orectolobiformes, Hemiscylliidae.
UCAUCGGGAAAAGUUACAUCGCCAGGGAACUUGUGGACAGUUAGUAUAAUUCUAAUGUUCAGCAGAGAGAUAGAACAUAUCCAUGGAAUUAUUGAUCAGCUUAAUGUCAGUCACAGCAUUACCCUUUUCUUAAAUGGGAACGUAGGUUUGGAUGUGAAUUCUGAGAGAUUUGCACAGGCUGUGUGGGAUUGAACAUGGCAAUCGACAUGCAAUGACUUGCGACCCCGUGGCGACCUCCUGAACUCCGCCCUAGCCAUGGAGGCCGGGGCUGAAAUCCAAGUCACCCACCCACCGCGGCUACUCGUCAGGGAGCACGGCAAGAAGCACUCAGAUCCUCUGGGAGUUCAGCAUGGUAAUGAAGUAAGAGAAACAACUGCCAGCAAGAUAACAUGUUCUUUCAGCUCAGCCUGUUACCCACAUCUAGCUCUCAGUGUUCAUCUGCUCCCCCAGCUGUCACGCUCCAAGUUAAAAUAAACCUCUUC